Molecule: ribosomal RNA, 2230 nt
Filed under: marine metagenome
Description: bacterial LSU rRNA
Rfam family: Bacterial large subunit ribosomal RNA
Source: RNAcentral
AGCGUGCACGGUGGAUGCCUAGGCAGUCAGAGGCGAUGAAGGACGUGGUAACCUGCGAAAAGCUUUGGGAAGGUGGUAAACAACCUAUGAUCCAGAGAUAUCCGAAUGGGGAAACCCACCCAGCGUAAGCUGGGUAUCUUAUACUGAAUACAUAGGUAUAAGAGGCGAACCGGGAGAACUGAAACAUCUAAGUACCCCGAGGAAAAGAAAUCAAUUGAGAUUCCCCUAGUAGCGGCGAGCGAACGGGGAUUAGCCCUUAAGUUUAUUAUGUUUUAGCGGAAGUAGCUGGAAAGUUACGCCAUAGUGGGUGAUAGCCCCGUACGCGAAAAGGCAUUUUAGAUGAAAACGAGUAGGUCGGGACACGAGAAAUCUUGACUGAACAUGGGGGGACCAUCCUCCAAGGCUAAAUACUCCUGACUGACCGAUAGUGAACCAGUACCGUGAGGGAAAGGCGAAAAGAACCCCUGUGAGGGGAGUGAAAUAGAUCCUGAAACCGUGUACGUACAAGCAGUGGGAGCGGUGUCAACUCAAGUACCUUGUACAAGAGUUGGUAACUUCUCUUAGGUUAGAGGUAACGUUUGCAAAGCAAACGGUCAACCGCCUAAUCAAUAGAGGGUGUUUGAGUGACACCGUGACUGCGUACCUUUUGUAUAAUGGGUCAGCGACUUAAUUUUAGUAGCAAGCUUAACCGAAUAGGGGAGGCGUAGGGAAACCGAGUCUUAAUAGGGCGUAUAGUUGCUAGGAUUAGACCCGAAACCGGGCGAUCUACCCAUGGCCAGGUUGAAGGUUGAGUAACAUCAACUGGAGGACCGAACCCACGUAUGUUGAAAAAUGCGGGGAUGAGCUGUGGGUCGGAGUGAAAGGCUAAUCAAGCCCGGAGAUAGCUGGUUCUCCUCGAAAGCUAUUUAGGUAGCGCCUCGUGUCUCACCAUUGGGGGUAGAGCACUGUUUCGGCUAGGGGGUCAUCCCGACUUACCAACCCGAUGCAAACUCCGAAUACCAAUGAGUGCAAUCACGGGAGACACACGGCGGGUGCUAACGUCCGUCGUGGAAAGGGAAACAACCCAGACCGUCAGCUAAGGUCCCAAAGUUAUAGUUAAGUGGGAAACGAUGUGGGAAGGUUUAGACAGCUAGGAGGUUGGCUUAGAAGCAGCCAUCCUUUAAAGAAAGCGUAAUAGCUCACUAGUCGAAUCGGCCUGCGCGGAAGAUAUAACGGGGCUCAAACUAUACACCGAGGCUACGGACGCGUGCUUGCAUGCGUGGUAGAGGAGCGUUCUGUAGGCCGUUGAAGGGAAAGCUGAGAGGCAUCCUGGAGGUAUCAGAAGUGCGAAUGCUGACAUGAGUAACGAUAAGGGGAGUGAAAAGCUCCCCCGCCGGAAGACCAAGGUUUCCUAUCCAAUGCUAAUCAGGGUAGGGUGAGUCGGCCCCUAAGGCGAGGCUGAAGAGCGUAGUCGAUGGGAAGCAGGUUAAUAUUCCUGCACCACUCAAUAUUGCGAAGGAGGGACGGAGAAGGCUAGUCCAGCGCGGCGUUGGUUGUCCGCGUUUAAGCGUGUAGGCUUAAAUCUUAGGUAAAUCCGGGAUUUUUUAAGGCUGAGGCGUGAUGACGAGGUCCAUUAGGACUGAAGUGGUUGAUGCCAUGCUUCCAGGAAAAGCUUCUAAGCAUCAGAUAUUGAGUGACCGUACCCCAAACCGACACAGGUGGUCAGGUAGAGAAUACCAAGGCGCUUGAGAGAACUCGGGUGAAGGAACUAGGCAAAAUGGUACCGUAACUUCGGGAGAAGGUACGCCGCUGAUGGUGAUGGGACUUGCUCCCUAAGCUGUUGGCGGCCGAAGAUACCAGGUGGCUGCGACUGUUUAUUAAAAACACAGCACUGUGCAAACACGAAAGUGGACGUAUACGGUGUGACGCCUGCCCGGUGCCGGAAGGUUAAUUGAUGGGGUUAGCUUCGGCGAAGCUCUUGAUCGAAGCCCCGGUAAACGGCGGCCGUAACUAUAACGGUCCUAAGGUAGCGAAAUUCCUUGUCGGGUAAGUUCCGACCUGCACGAAUGGCGUAACGACGGGGGCGCUGUCUCCACCAUAGACUCAGUGAAAUCGAAAUCGCGGUGAAGAUGCCGUGUUCCCGCGGCUAGACGGAAAGACCCCGUGAACCUUUACUAUCUGUCCUUUAUACUCCUCUGACUCUGCCGACGAAUAGGGAGGUUGAGACUCCGGGCUUCUGCGCCGCAUCGAU